UAGAUGUGGGUCACAUUCCACGUGAUCCGUGUCGCAGCUAACGCAUUAAGCGCCCCGCCUGGGGAGUACGGCCGCAAGGCUAAAACUCAAAGGAAUUGACGGGGGCCCGCACAAGCGGCGGAGCAUGCGGAUUAAUUCGAUGCAACGCGAAGAACCUUACCAAGGCUUGACAUAUAGUGGAAAACUGCAGAAAUGCAGUCCCCCGCAAGGGUCGCUAUACAGGUGGUGCAUGGUUGUCGUCAGCUCGUGUCGUGAGAUGUUGGGUUAAGUCCCGCAACGAGCGCAACCCUCGUCCUAUGUUGCCAGCACGUAAUGGUGGGAACUCAUGGGAGACUGCCGGGGUCAACUCGGAGGAAGGUGGGGAUGACGUCAAAUCAUCAUGCCCCUUAUGUCUUGGGCUUCACGCAUGCUACAAUGGCCGGUACAAAGGGCUGCAAUACCGCAAGGUGGAGCGAAUCCCAAAAAGCCGGUCUCAGUUCGGAUUGGGGUCUGCAACUCGACCCCAUGAAGUCGGAGUCGCUAGUAAUCGCAGAUCAGCAACGCUGCGGUGAAUACGUUCCCGGGCCUUGUACACACCGCCCGUCAAGUCACGAAAGUCGGUAACACCCGAAGCCGGUGGCCUAACCGUAAGGAA
This 634-nucleotide ribosomal RNA is filed under the name uncultured Actinomycetes bacterium. Its description in RNAcentral is "bacterial SSU rRNA". It matches the Rfam family "Bacterial small subunit ribosomal RNA", at positions 817 to 1448 of the family's 1533-position model. The record is from RNAcentral. Lineage: Bacteria; Bacillati; Actinomycetota; Actinomycetes.